Molecule: ribosomal RNA, 450 nt
Filed under: uncultured bacterium
Lineage: Bacteria
Description: partial 16S ribosomal RNA
Rfam family: Bacterial small subunit ribosomal RNA
Source: RNAcentral
GUGGGGAAUCUUCCGCAAUGGACGAAAGUCUGACGGAGCAACGCCGCGUGAGUGAUGAAGGUCUUCGGAUUGUAAAGCUCUGUUAAUCGGGACGAAAGAGCCUAGUGUGAAUAAUGCUAGGAAGUGACGGUACCGGAAUAGAAAGCCACGGCUAACUACGUGCCAGCAGCCGCAGUAAUACGUAGGUGGCAAGCGUUGUCCGGAAUUAUUGGGCGUAAAGCGCGCGCAGGCGGAUCUGCCAGUCUGUCUUAAAAGUUCGGGGCUUAACCCCGUGAUGGGAUGGAAACUACAGAUCUAGAGUAUCGGAGAGGAAAGUGGAAUUCCUAGUGUAGCGGUGAAAUGCGUAGAUAUUAGGAAGAACACCAGUGGCGAAGGCGACUUUCUGGACGAAAACUGACGCUGAGGCGCGAAAGCCAGGGGAGCGAACGGGAUUAGAAACCCCAGUAGUCC